This 460-nucleotide ribosomal RNA is filed under the name uncultured bacterium. RNAcentral describes it as "partial 16S ribosomal RNA". It matches the Rfam family "Bacterial small subunit ribosomal RNA", at positions 338 to 795 of the family's 1533-position model. The record is from RNAcentral.
CCUACGGGAGGCAGCAGUGAGGAAUAUUUGUCAAUGGACGAGAGUCUGAACCAGCCAAGUAGCGUGAAGGAUGACUGCCCUAUGGGUUGUAAACUUCUUUUAUAUGGGAAUAAAAUGUUCCACGUGUGGGAUUUUGUAUGUACCAUAUGAAUAAGGAUCGGCUAACUCCGUGCCAGCAGCCGCGGUAAUACGGAGGAUCCGAGCGUUAUCCGGAUUUAUUGGGUUUAAAGGGAGCGUAGGUGGAUUGUUAAGUCAGUUGUGAAAGUUUGCGGCUCAACCGUAAAAUUGCAGUUGAAACUGGCAGUCUUGAGUACGGUAGAGGUGGGCGGAAUGCGUGGUGUAGCGGUGAAAUGCUUAGAUAUCACGAAGAACUCCGAUUGCGAAGGCAGUUCACUGGACUGCAACUGACACUGAGGCUCGAAAGUGUGGGUAUCAAACAGGAUUAGAUACCCCAGUAGUC